UACGUAGGGUGCAAGCGUUGUCCGGAAUUAUUGGGCGUAAAGAGCUCGUAGGCGGUUUGUCGCGUCUGCUGUGAAAACCCGAGGCUCAACCUCGGGCCUGCAGUGGGUACGGGCAGACUAGAGUGCGGUAGGGGAGAUUGGAAUUCCUGGUGUAGCGGUGGAAUGCGCAGAUAUCAGGAGGAACACCAAUGGCGAAGGCAGCUCGCUGGGACGGUACUGACGCUGAGACACGAAAGCCAGGGGAGCAAACGGG
Molecule: ribosomal RNA, 253 nt
Filed under: uncultured bacterium
Lineage: Bacteria
Description: partial 16S ribosomal RNA
Rfam family: Bacterial small subunit ribosomal RNA
Source: RNAcentral